UCUGUAUGCAGACAUUGAAUAAUAUCGUGUUCUGUAUAGAUAUGACAACAAUACGACGGGGGUUUUCUGUAUGCAGACAUUGAAUAAUAUCGUGUUCUGUAUAGAUAUGACAACAAUACGACGGGGGUUUUCUGUAUGCAGACAUUGACUAAUAUAAUGUUCUGUAUAGAUAUGACAACAAUACGACGGGGGUUUUCUGUAUGCAGACAUUGAAUAAUAUAAUGUUCUGUAUAGAUAUGACAACAAUACGACGGAGGGGUUUUCUGUAUGCAGACAUUGACUAAUAUAAUGUUCUGUAUAGAUAUGACAACAAUACGACGGGGGGUUUUCUGUAUGCAGACAUUGAAUAAUAUCAUGUUCUGUAUAGAUAUGACAACAAUACGACGGGGGUUUUCUGUAUGCAGACAUUGAAUAAUAUCAUGUUCUGUAUAGAUAUGACAACAAUACGACGGGGGGUUUUCUGUAUGCAGACAUUGAAUAAUAUAAUGUUCUGUAUAGAUAUGACAACAAUACGACGGGGGUUUUCUGUAUGCAGACAUUGAAUAAUAUAAUGUUCUGUAUAGAUAUGACAACAAUACGACGGGGGUUUUCUGUAUGCAGACAUUGAAUAAUAUCAUGUUCUAUACCAAAACAUAUUCUUGAAAACAAGUACAGCAUGUAAACCAGAAAUAAAGGCAGAUCAUAGUUUUAAUUCUGUGUCAACAAACUGUUCUAAAAAUAUGUAUCUUGUUCUUCUCGGC
This 740-nucleotide long non-coding RNA is filed under the name Salmo salar (Atlantic salmon). RNAcentral describes it as "lncRNA (ENSSSAG00000121610.1)". The record is from RNAcentral. Lineage: Eukaryota; Metazoa; Chordata; Actinopteri; Salmoniformes; Salmonidae.